RNAcentral lists this small nucleolar RNA (138 nucleotides) under Ornithorhynchus anatinus (platypus). Lineage: Eukaryota; Metazoa; Chordata; Mammalia; Monotremata; Ornithorhynchidae. The record is from RNAcentral.
CCCCUUUCAGGGUCGCACCUGGGGAGUUUCCAGUACUCUACCGGUCUCGACUACGGGAGGGAGAGUCAAGCAGAGGCAUACCCAAUCCAUUCCUAGCUUGCCCAGUGGCUAGUGAGUGGAAGGCAAUUUGCUACAAAU